RNAcentral lists this small RNA (742 nucleotides) under Pan troglodytes (chimpanzee). RNAcentral's name for it is "retained intron". Lineage: Eukaryota; Metazoa; Chordata; Mammalia; Primates; Hominidae. The record is from RNAcentral.
AUUAGAGGCCAGGCACAGUGGCUUACCCCUGUAAUGCCAGCACUUUGCGAGGCUGAGGCGGGCGAAUCAUCUGAGGUUGGGAGUUUGACACCAGACUGGCCAACAUGGUAAAACCCCUUCUCUACUAAAAGAAAAAUACACACACACACAAAAAAAGUAGCCAGGUGCGGUCGCACAUGUCUGUAAUCCCAACUACGUGGAAGGCUGAGGCACAAGAAUUGCUUGAACCUGGGAGGCAGAGGUUGCAGUGAGCUGAGAUCGCACCACUGCACUCCAGUCUGGCCAACAGAACGAGACUCUGUCUCAGAAAUUAAUUAAUUAAUCAAAAUUAAUUGUCCAGCUUUGAUUUAGAAUCUUAACUGCUAUUACACGUCUCUUCUGUCUACCUUCAAAUAGGUCAUCUAAUACAUGGGAGAAACAUGGAUUUUGGAGUGUUUCUUGGGUGGAACAUAAAUAAUGAUACCUGGGUCAUAACUGAGCAACUAAAACCUUUAACAGUGAAUUUGGACUUCCAAAGAAACAACAAAACUGUCUUCAAGGCUUCAAGCUUUGCUGGCUAUGUGGGCAUGUUAACAGGAUUCAAACCAGUAAGGAGUCUGUUGUUACAUAAUUAUACAGGGACUGUUCAGUCUUUCACUGAAUGAACGUUUCAGUAUAAAUGGUGGUUAUCUGGGUAUUCUAGAAUGGAUUCUGGGAAAGAAAGAUGCCAUGUGGAUAGGGUUCCUCACUAGAACAGUUCUGG